CAUAACGUGCAAUUUCAAAUUUCUUUUGAAGAUAUCUUCCUAUUCGUUCUUAUCAACACCAAUCACCAUUUUUCCAAUUCGUUUUGCAGAUUAUCAACAGUAAAUUCAGCAAUCCAUGACACAUUCUAGUGAACAGAAUAUUGUUUCAUCGAAUUGCCUAAUCGAUCAGACCGUUCAACCACCGGGAGAUCAACAUCAAGAUACGAACGAUCAGAUUGUUGUUUCACCCACACGCUCCUCGUAGGUAUAUUUACAAACAUUUCUUGGAUGACUUGUUCAUAAAAAGUUUUAUCAUAUAAGGCUAUAAACACAGUGCUGCUGUGAGCAUGUCACAAGAACAAAAAUAUCAAAGGCAGUGAUGAGAGGAACGUAGAGUUGAAGCAAAAAAAUCACAAACUUCUAUAGAACAUUUUCAUAGAACCUGAAAGGUUUACGCAUGUGUAUUGUUAACACAUUCCUUACUUUACACAUGUGUGUUGUUAACAUUUUUAUUUUACACAUUUGUACAUCAUGAAACCAAGUAAUAACUUGU
Molecule: long non-coding RNA, 532 nt
Organism: Helianthus annuus (common sunflower)
Lineage: Eukaryota; Viridiplantae; Streptophyta; Magnoliopsida; Asterales; Asteraceae
Exons: 3
Source: RefSeq, a predicted model, not a curated record